RNAcentral lists this unclassified non-coding RNA (240 nucleotides) under soil metagenome. Its description in RNAcentral is "partial contains 5.8S ribosomal RNA, internal transcribed spacer 2, and large subunit ribosomal RNA". The record is from RNAcentral.
AAGACUAUAGACCUGCGGAGUACCUGCGGAGGGAUCAUUACCGAGUUUACAACUCCCAAACCCAAUGUGAACGUUACCAAACUGUUGCCUCGGCGGGAUCUCUGCCCCGGGUGCGUCGCAGCCCCGGACCAAGGCGCCCGCCGGAGGACCAACCAAAACUCUUUUGUAUACCCCCUCGCGGGUUUUUUAUAUCUGAGCCAUCUCGGCGCCUCUCGUAGGCGUUUCGAAAAUGAAUCAAAA